Molecule: ribosomal RNA, 253 nt
Filed under: uncultured bacterium
Lineage: Bacteria
Description: partial 16S ribosomal RNA
Rfam family: Bacterial small subunit ribosomal RNA
Source: RNAcentral
UACAGAGGGUGCAAGCGUUAAUCGGAUUUACUGGGCGCAAAGCGCGCGUAGGUGGCCAAUUAAGUCAAAUGUGAAAUCCCCGAGCUUAACUUGGGAAUUGCAUUCGAUACUGGUUGGCUAGAGUAUGGGAGAGGAUGGUAGAAUUCCAGGUGUAGCGGUGAAAUGCGUAGAGAUCUGGAGGAAUACCGAUGGCGAAGGCAGCCAUCUGGCCUAAUACUGACACUGAGGUGCGAAAGCAUGGGGAGCAAACAGG